AAGUAGAGUUUGGUGUGUGGUCAGACUGGAUGGCCACCCGGGGCCGAGAGUCUGGGCUGUCCUUCCACCAUGGCUUCUUAGAUCUCUUUGACUUCCUGCUUGGAUUCCCCACAGAGUGGAUUGUAUCUUGCUGAGGAGGCGGGGACAAGAGUCCCACAGGAUGUCCACAUGGUGGUGCUGUCGUGUCUCAUUUUGAGACUUGUCAGUGAAUGAAGGCUCGGACACCUCCUGAGGCUGUGGGCUGUUGAGUCAGUGUUUAACCACUAUAAUUGGGAGAAACGUCUUCCAACUGUCUAACCCAGACGAGACAGACGCUGCAGAUUCCACCCCCUUGCUCGUGGGCUGCCCUCUGCAGAAUGUAGAAAACAAGGACAAGUCAUAAAGAGCUCCCUACUCCCCAGGCUCCCGAAAAUCCUCUAUAAAACCAACAUAAGUAAAAGGC
Molecule: long non-coding RNA, 442 nt
Organism: Mustela lutreola (European mink)
Lineage: Eukaryota; Metazoa; Chordata; Mammalia; Carnivora; Mustelidae
Exons: 2
Source: RefSeq, a predicted model, not a curated record